AAAGAUCUAUUAACUAACAGGAUAAUUUAACCUAAAAAGAAAAAAGAGAAACAUAGAAUGGCCACAUACUUCCCUUGGUAUCUUUAUCAAUUUGAUCUAAAACACCCGCGUUCUGCACUCUAGUGGGCAUAUACAGUAGACAACUGCAAAAGCAGCAGCAACUGGUCACCUGCACCUGAUUACGUUUCCCCAUGAUCUGUUGAAUUCCAUGGUAAGAAUAAACAUUGGAAAUGAUACAAAUUCCUGGCUCUGGGAAAGAACUGCAUAAGCAUAGGGAAAAAAGAAAAAAAGGAGGGACUAAUCUCUGGCAAAUGAGGCAUAUCACUGUCACAUAAACUUUACAGGGGUCUGGAUUUGGACAGAAAUCCUUUUCAAAUCAGCCUUUUAAAAGUGAUUCGUGCUUUUCAAUCAGUGACAGGAAAAUUAGCUGGAAAAGGGGCCCGCCACUCAUAAUUGCACGAGAUAGUGGUUGCACUGGCUAAUGUUUCGCAGGGAUCUUGUGAGCGAUAAAUUGAAGCUUAAGAGUUAAGACACUUCGUUAAGUCAUAACGAGAACUUGAAAUUGACGACAAAUUGUCAGAUUCCGGAGGGUAGCACUGUUUUUGGGGUCCAAUCUUUUACUGGUUUAAAGUCGUCGUAUUAACUGUACGAGCAGGCGAGGCUUUGGAUCUUCGAAAAAGAACAUUUUUCUGAUGCACACUGAUCUCGACGCCGACACGGGUCCAUGUCCUUCUGUUCUGCCCCUUCCGAUCACCAUCUGGCUCCCAAUAAUUUUGCAACACUGACUAAGAGAAAGCAACGUGAACGUUGCAGCAGAUGCCGCUCAUGGAGGUUUCUUUUUCAGUAGGUGUCUUUUCGAUUUCAAGUACGUGGAUACGAAAAGGAAGAAGAAGAUAAGAGAUAAAUGCGAGAAAAUAUAAACAAAUUGGUUGGUUAUUGAUUCCUCCCUCAAUCUAUCUUAGAUAGAAAUCUGGACAAUUAUUUGGUAGGCCUCUAGAUUUGUGGCAUGCUGUUUCUUGCUUGUCACUAUCCUACACUACUACUUA
Molecule: long non-coding RNA, 1046 nt
Organism: Alnus glutinosa
Lineage: Eukaryota; Viridiplantae; Streptophyta; Magnoliopsida; Fagales; Betulaceae
Exons: 4
Source: RefSeq, a predicted model, not a curated record